UGGGUAGCAAACAGGAUUAGAUACCCUGGUAGUCCAUACCGUAAACGAUGAAUGCUAAGUGUGGGAGGGUUUCCGCCCUUUCAGUGCUGCAGCUAACGCAUUAAGCAUUCCGCCUGGGGAGUACGGCCGCAAGGCUGAAACUCAAAGGAAUUGACGGGGGCCCGCACAAGCGGUGGAGCAUGUGGUUUAAUUCGAAGCUACGCGAAGAACCUUACCAGGUCUUGACAUACUAUGCAAAUCUAAGAGAUUAGACGUUCCCUUCGGGGACAUGGAUACAGGUGGUGCAUGGUUGUCGUCAGCUCGUGUCGUGAGAUGUUGGGUUAAGUCCCGCAACGAGCGCAACCCUUAUUAUCAGUUGCCAGCAUUAAGUUGGGCACUCUGGUGAGACUGCCGGUGACAAACCGGAGGAAGGUGGGGAUGACGUCAAAUCAUCAUGCCCCUUAUGACCUGGGCUACACACGUGCUACAAUGGAUGGUACAACGAGUUGCGAACUCGCGAGAGUAAGCUAAUCUCUUAAAGCCAUUCUCAGUUCGGAUUGUAGGCUGCAACUCGCCUACAUGAAGUCGGAAUCGCUAGUAAUCGCGGAUCAGCAUGCCGCGGUGAAUACGUUCCCGGGCCUUGUACACACCGCCCGUCACACCAUGAGAGUUUGUAACACCCAAAGUCGGUGGGGUAACCUUUUAGGAACCAGCCGCCUAAGGUGGGACAGAUGAUUAGGGU
This 721-nucleotide ribosomal RNA is filed under the name Lactiplantibacillus plantarum. RNAcentral's name for it is "bacterial SSU rRNA". It matches the Rfam family "Bacterial small subunit ribosomal RNA", at positions 762 to 1481 of the family's 1533-position model. The record is from RNAcentral. Lineage: Bacteria; Bacillati; Bacillota; Bacilli; Lactobacillales; Lactobacillaceae.